AAAUUGUUCAGGCUUUUGUGCAUCUGCCUGUCCAGUCCCUGCUCCCUCCUUCGUCCCUCUCCCAGCAGCACCCCUAUUCUGCCUUGCUGCCUUCCCUUUGGUAACAUUAAGCCUUAUUUUCCCACAAAUGUACAGGGUUUUCUUCCUUUUUUUUUUUUUUUUUUUUGGGGGGGGGGGGGGGGGGUGCGGAUCACUCCCAGCUACUACAAUGCUCAGGCUGUUUUAUCUAGAAGUGGACCAGGGCAGCCCUGAAGGAAGCAGAAGUGGUGACCUGAUAGCAUUCCCAAAACACUCUCAGAUGCUGUACGGUGUUGCAGCUGCAGAUGCAUCCCACUCUUCCGUUUCAUCUUUAUGUUCAAAUUGGAAAUGAUACAUGGAAGAUAGUUCUUCACCAUGACACCAUUCCAGAUUUCAUAAUUCAUUCCCACUUAAAUGAAAAUAAAAACAUUAACAAAAUGAAAUUCUAUUAAAACAGCUGCUUCUAAAUUGAGGUUUGAUUCCAGACUGUAUAGUAUUGAUCAGAGGAUUUGAGUAUGCCUCAGAAACGUUCUUGAGGAAAAUGUUGUUGCAAAUGGAAUGUUUCAGCUUUUACAGGUUGUGUAAAAAUUUUUACAAUCAUCCAGUUGUUGAAACAGCUACAUAUUCCUUUGUUAUUUACUGAAUUCCUUCUUUGUCACCUUAGUAACAUUUAGAAAGGAAAUGCUUGCUAUUAGUAUCACUUCUUUGUCUAUGUUUUGUUUCUCUGACUUUGUUUUCUGCCUUUUCUGUCUCUGUCCUACUUCCUUUUUCUUCCAUUAGCAUUUCCUCACCUUUAGUAACUUUCUAUUCCUACCAUGUAGGCUUCCUUCAUGUCCCAAACCCCGUGCUAAAAGCCUAAAUCCGUAGUAAUUAAGUACCUCGUUAAAACUGCCUUUGAAAUACCCUCAUUGUUUUCAGUAUUGAAACUACAACAAAACAAAAAAGCGUAGGCAGGUUUAUCAGUCACCCCCAUUAUAAGUGGCUGUUUUAAGACUGAAAGAAAUGUUCUGCAUUAGUUCCCCAUUUGUUCAUAGGUGGAUGAUGAUGCAGUUGUUUGAUCCAGUUGUUUCAAGUACAUAACAUGAACUGAACUUCCAUUACUCAGGAGAGCUCUGGUGUUGCAGCAUUGGUGUUGGACAGAGGAGGACAUUUGUCAGGUGCUUAUCUAGUUGAUUAUAUGGAAGUUGCUGCAUGGAUUAUAAAUAAGUUUGCUGCAAUUACAGGAGAAAAAAAUUAAAGCUGUUUGCUGGUAGUGUCUGAUUUAACAGAAAUUACAUAUCUUCCUGUCUAGAAGGUGAUUCAGGAAUUCCAAAUGCAUGGAUGCUAUUCUAAUACCAUGUUUCAGCCUACAGAAUGAACUGCACCCACAAGAUUGAUAUGUAAUGAAAUGUCACCUCAAGUUAUAUGGAAUUUUAAGGAGUUGUGAAGGUGUCCCAGAGGAAUUACAAGCAAAAUUUAUACAUCAUGCUCAUGGUAAAUCUCAAGUUGUCACAACAAACCAACAAUUACAGGACAAGCACUGGUGGCCAGAACUCGACAUGAAGGACUGAAGCUUAAUACUAAACUCACUUAGCAAAAUUAAGACAAGUGACUCAUGCAGUACCAUUGCAGCCUGCCCCUUAUGUUUUUUUCUCCAUGAAUGACUGACAUCACAGCCCCUUUGGGCAGUUACUGUAGCUAUCUAGCUAUCUUUCAGUGAUAGACAACAUCAUAAAAUGACCAAACAGAGCAUUUACAUUGUGUGACAUCUGCUGCUAUAAUCAUUUUCUUGUCUGUUUUCAGCCAAGAGUGAAAGCUGUAAGAAUUAGUACCAUUUAAAUUCUUACAAUGUGCAAUUUUUUCUGGGAAUAUAUAUAAAAGGUCAUCAUCAAGUUACCUUAAAGCUGAUGAAGAACUAGAAUGUUGAGGUGAAUUUUGAAAGAGAUUUCACGGCUAACCUGGGAAAAAAAGCUUGGAAGACCUUCUCAAUGGACUAAUUACAAAUUUAAGGAGUAACAUACCAUGUAAUCACAUAAAUAAUUUCCUAAACUAAUGCCUGGAGAGCUACACACACUGAGUUAAAUGUUGCUAGGUUGAGGAUCUAUAAACCUGCCGUGGUAGCACAAUCAGAUACAAAAUACACAGUCCAACAGCAUCAAAAUUGAUAAAGAUCAUUGUGGUACUAAGGAUCUGUGAUUCAAAUUUGGCUUUGUAAGCGCAAAACCCUGGAAUCCUCUGAAAAGGGGAGUUGGAGUUUAUGUUGUCUCCCAAGCUCGUUGUGGGAAAAGGACUACAUACAUAUAUCUUUGGGAUAAGUACACACCUGCUUGCACCUGCUUGCCAAGGGCAACUUAGAAAUAUUUUGAAUCGUUUGUGCAUAAUAGAUUGCUUUCCCUUACCUUCUCUGCAUUGCAAGACAAAUGAACGAGAUAGUCUGGUCAGCCUUCUGCUAGCUGCAGAUAACUAUCUGCACACAUCAGAAACUUUUAGACAAUAACAAAAAAAUGGCACAGAGAUAAAAUGUUUGUUUAUUAACACCACAGACUUCUGAAAAAGAAUACAGUCGAUGCAGUAUUGGUGAUAAACGGCAGAGGGCAUUUCUCAGAUGCACUGAUGCAAAAAAGCAAGUUCAGUCUGGGGAAUCUCUUUGUGUGUCUAGUCUAGGCUCUUGCAGUAGCCAUGGCGGUGGUUUUUUCUCCUUUGCUGCUCCUUUAUGGCUAUGGAAACAACCAUCAGUUAUACCACACGACAAAUGAUACUUCAGCACAAGGCAAUAAACAACUCUGGUUUAGGCGUAUUAUAUUACAUUUCUCUAUUUGAGCUGUGCUGACUCUGCAAGAACAAUAACCAUCUUCUCUCCUGAAGUUAGCAGAGGAAUCUACGCAUGCUUGGAGCAACUCUGCUGAUUAAGGCCCUGGCUCUGCAGGAGACCCCAUUCACACCAAUACUUGCAGCAUCAGUGCCAUUUUACAUAAUGACUUAUAUUAGCUAUUUAAUUCUAAAAAUUACAAAAGCCAAAUAAAAUAGUUAUUAAAAUGA
Molecule: long non-coding RNA, 3036 nt
Organism: Aquila chrysaetos chrysaetos
Lineage: Eukaryota; Metazoa; Chordata; Aves; Accipitriformes; Accipitridae
Exons: 2
Source: RefSeq, a predicted model, not a curated record